CUUCCCGGUCUACUGACAUUUGUUAAGACAUCUGCUUUAAACAUAACGAUGCUCAUGAUAACUUUCAUUUACUCUACAACUAGUAAAUCCACUUCACCAGCUAAUUAUUCUUUGACAGCGAUGCCAUGGAAAUAUACAGGGCUGCCGUUCUGUAUAAAAUGACAUGAUGUAAAAUGAUCUAAAAAUAUUCACACCCUUGAUAUUAGUAUUAGGGGCUAUGUGUAUGUGAUACUAAGUUGUCCAUUACUACUCUCACAAGUAGCUGCAAUAUGUUAUGUUUCCAUUGACAACAUAAAAGUGUGUUUAGAGAGCAAUGAAAAAGAACAAAAGCUUAGAUCUACUUUUAAAUAUUUUCCUUAUUAAUUUGUUCAUGAAAUAAUGACUGUUUUGAAUGUCAUGGUUUGUACUUAUAUUGAUGUAUUCUUCUUCCUAACAGUUCUUUGUACAUUUCUCUCAUUUGGAAAAGCUUGUGGCCCUAGUAAAUAUAAAUCUGCUGUUGGAGGAGAGUGUUGUCCGAUGUGCUAUAUGGGGUCAGUGGUCUUAUAUGACUGUUUUGGGAAUUCUGCUACUAUAUGCAAACGCUGCACUCAAGGAACAUUCAUGAGUGAACCCAGUUGUCUUUGUGAAUGCUUCACAUGCAGAAACUGUUGAAAAUCAAGGCCUUUACAUUUAGAGUAAAUGCACUACAAUAACUGACACCAUCUGUGAUGUGCUUGAUGGAAAUUACUGCACUGAGUACUCCAAUUCACAGUGCCUUCAUGCUCUAAAACACAGUGUUUGUGCACCAGGACAAGAAACAAAAACUCCAGGAACAAAGUCAACAGAUACAGUUUGUUUGAACUGCCCUCAUGGGUUUUAUUCUCCAUCAGGUCUGAACUGCAUCAAAUGGACUGAUUGUACAGCUAGAAAUUAAAUACAGACAGAAAAUGGCUCUGUAAAAGAUGUCACAUGCACACCAAAAAUACGGGAAAGAUAUGGUCUCAUAUUUGCAUUGGUUUUAACAUCACCGUUCGACAUAAUUCUACUCCUGAUCUCACUGAGCACAAGUGCGUAUAUGCAGUAUUCAUCUGAAUUUAAUUUUUAACCUACUGAAUUUAACCUAGCGCAGAAUGUUUUGAUUUGUUUGAUGGAAUUUUACUGAAACCUGUAUAGAAAAAAUUAAUUAUAAUGAAUUAAUAUCAUUCUGAUUUUAUAGAGAUCAGGUUUAAUAAUCCUGAUUUUUAUUUUGUUAUUCUCAUUUAGUUUGUUAAUAGGGCCAAUAAAUGUCUCUGUAAUAUACAUACAGAAUGUAUUUUAGCUGUGCAGAGUGCAAAGACCUUUUCAGAAUAUUAUGUUUGUUGCACUGUUAUACUUGUUUGUAUUUUCACCAAAAAUAUUUUCUCUUUUUAUAAGAUUAUAAACUUAAAGUGCUUUACAACACAACCCAUAUGCAGCACACUGAGGAAAAUCAAUGAGGGACAAUGGUUGUUUCCAAAAAAAUCUGUCACUUCACCUGUUGGAUCUUCAUGCCUCAAUCUAUGCAUGUUUCAAUCUCUCCAAUGGUCCAUUCAUUAUGGGAGUGUGACAACAUUUGAGUCUCCUCCGUGUGCUGUGACCUUGAAGUGGUGGAGAAGCUUGAGUUCCUCCAGGAACUUAUCCCAGUGGAAGCUUUUACUUUUUCAAAAGCAGAUUCAACUGCACCAGGGUAAUACCAGGAAGGCAGACAAACAAAAGCAAGCUACAGCUCUAGAGUAAACAUGUAUGAACAUUUUGUUGUACAAUAUAAAUCUUGAGGGAACUAGGGGCGAAUUAGUCUUCCAGGUUUUCACAUCAUCCCUGCACCACUCUAUAUCAUUAAAAGACCAGCUCAUCUCUGAUACAACAACAAAUAGACUGCAAAAAGUGUUUCAUGAUACAGCUAAAAUGGAAAAGGCCACAUACAAAUAAAAGUUUACAAAUCACAAGUCUCAAUUAUAACAAUUGUUACAUUUAUAUAGCGCUUUUCUCAGCACUCAAAGUGCUUUACGUAUGGAAGGGGGGAAUCUCCUCAAGCACCACCAAUGUGCAGCAUCCACCUGGGUGAUAUGACGGCAGCCAAUGUGCACCAGAACACCCACCACACACCUGCUUAUUGGUGAAAGAGUGAUUAAACCAUUCCCCAAGUGCAGCAUGGGGAUGAUUAGGACUAGGAGGCCAUGAUUAUGGCUUAUUACACCCCUACUCUUUUUCGAAGCACAUCCUAGGAUUUUUUAUGACCACAGAGUCAGGACCUCGGUUUAAAUUCUCAUCCGAAGGGUGGUGCUUUUUGAGAGUAUAGUAUCCCCAUCACCCAGACUGUGAGCAGCCCCUGUUGGCCUCACUAACACUUUUUCCAGCAGCAAACUAGUUUUUCCCAGGCGGUCUCUCAUCCAGGUACUGACCGGGCGACCAAGACAGAGCUGCAGAGUCAUAGCUGCUGGAAAAUGGACAGAUGCAUAUUUUAACAAUAACUUUGUUUUGUAUUAUAUUGUUGGUGGAUCUAAAAUUGUCAAUAUUAAUAUUCAUGCAUUUUAUUAAUAUUUAUGUUAAUCGUUUAUGGCUUAUGAUUUAUCACUUUUACUUUUGAUUUCAUAUAUUUAUGUACUCAUACUUUAUAUAUAAUCCUCAUAUUUUCAAGUACACUUUAUUGUACUCUUAUGGUCAUUAUUCUUUUAUAUUUCAGAGUAUGUAUGCUUGUUAUGUUCAAUUGUUCUUUAAAGUGUUCCAGUGUGACAGGUCACGUUGACACGUUUGUGGUUAGAUAUUGGACGCCUGCCAAGUACUGCAGAAGUGAUGUUUUUCAGAAUUAGUUGCUCAUUUGAAUCUGAUCAAAAUAUGUCUGUUAUUAUUUCUGCUAACAUUUGAUAGUGUAAUAUUUGCAAAAUUCCCUAGGGGGUCAAAACAACUUUUAUAUCUAUUUUUUUGGCAUCUGACCAGUUUAUGAUAUAAUGGGUAAAACCAUUUAACCUUUCCUUAUUAGAACAAAAACAUCAGUUUGAGUGGGAUGUAAAUUUCCCUAUAUGCUUAUGGUAUAAAGUUGACAUUGACAAAGUUGAGUCAUGGAUAAUUUAGCUUUUUCUCCUUUGCUUUUUCCUUUGCUCUUCUGCUUCUUCUCUCCUAUCUGCAAAUGUCUUAAUUAUUGUUCUUUCUUUUUGUAUAUUCUGAUAUUCAUCUAUUAGAUACAAUACUCAGA
Megalobrama amblycephala (Wuchang bream) is the source of this 3190-nucleotide long non-coding RNA. RefSeq lists it as uncharacterized. The transcript has 6 exons. The record is from RefSeq and is a predicted model, not a curated record. Lineage: Eukaryota; Metazoa; Chordata; Actinopteri; Cypriniformes; Xenocyprididae.